RNAcentral lists this long non-coding RNA (316 nucleotides) under Oryza brachyantha (malo sina). RNAcentral describes it as "long non-coding RNA (OBRA_LNC001553)". Lineage: Eukaryota; Viridiplantae; Streptophyta; Magnoliopsida; Poales; Poaceae. The record is from RNAcentral.
AAAUGAACCGAUUAAAAACUGAUCUCCGCCUCCGUCUCCGGCGACCUCUCUUUCUCUCGAGUCUCGACGGACGGAUACAUCUUCCCCUCCGCCACUUUGCUACCGUACCAGGGCGUCUCCUCUCAUGAUCAUCGUCAUGUCCUCCUCCUGCCAUCCCCACGACCACCACCACACCAAGUCGCCGGAGCCCACCUCCGUGCUCUACAACCGCAGCCCAAGCCCCCCCACCUCCUCCUCCCUCGGCUCCUGCUCCUCCAAACCCCUCACUACCACCGCCGACGACUGGGAGGCCGUCCUCGGCGACAUGGUCACCCCC